GAUGAACGCUGGCGGCGUGCCUAAUACAUGCAAGUCGAGCGAACAGACGAGGAGCUUGCUCCUUUGACGUUAGCGGCGGACGGGUGAGUAACACGUGGGUAACCUACCUAUAAGACUGGGAUAACUUCGGGAAACCGGAGCUAAUACCGGAUAAUAUUUCGAACCGCAUGGUUCGAUAGUGAAAGAUGGCUCUGCUAUCACUUAUAGAUGGACCUGCGCCGUAUUAGCUAGUUGGUAAGGUAACGGCUUACCAAGGCAACGAUACGUAGCCGACCUGAGAGGGUGAUCGGCCACACUGGAACUGAGACACGGUCCAGACUCCUACGGGAGGCAGCAGUAGGGAAUCUUCCGCAAUGGGCGAAAGCCUGACGGAGCAACGCCGCGUGAGUGAUGAAGGUCUUCGGAUCGUAAAACUCUGUUAUUAGGGAAGAACAAACGUGUAAGUAACUGUGCACGUCUUGACGGUACCUAAUCAGAAAGCCACGGCUAACUACGU
This 496-nucleotide ribosomal RNA is filed under the name uncultured bacterium. RNAcentral's name for it is "partial 16S ribosomal RNA". It matches the Rfam family "Bacterial small subunit ribosomal RNA", at positions 28 to 506 of the family's 1533-position model. The record is from RNAcentral.